This 740-nucleotide ribosomal RNA is filed under the name uncultured spirochete. RNAcentral's name for it is "bacterial SSU rRNA". It matches the Rfam family "Bacterial small subunit ribosomal RNA", at positions 584 to 1325 of the family's 1533-position model. Lineage: Bacteria; Pseudomonadati; Spirochaetota; Spirochaetia; Spirochaetales. The record is from RNAcentral.
CAAGCCUGGUGUGAAAGGCCACCGCUUAACGGUGGGAGUGCGCUGGGAACUGUAGGGCUAGAGUUCAGGAGGGGAAGCUGGAAUUCCUGGUGUAGGGGUGAAAUCUGUAGAUAUCAGGAAGAACACCGGUGGCGAAGGCGAGCUUCUGGCCAUGAACUGACGCUGAGGCGCGAAAGCGUGGGGAGCGAACAGGAUUAGAUACCCUGGUAGUCCACGCUGUAAACGAUGUGCACUAGGUGUUGGCUGUUUUCACGGUCAGUGCCGAAGCAAACGCGAUAAGUGCACCGCCUGGGGAGUAUGCUCGCAAGGGUGAAACUCAAAGGAAUUGACGGGGGCCCGCACAAGCGGUGGAGCAUGUGGUUUAAUUCGAUGGUACGCGAGGAACCUUACCAGGGCUUGACAUAUAGCGGACGGCGGCAGAGAUGUCGCUUCCCUUCGGGGCUGCUAUACAGGUGCUGCAUGGCUGUCGUCAGCUCGUGCUGUGAGGUGUUGGGUUAAGUCCCGCGACGAGCGCAACCCCUUCUGUCUGUUACCAGCACAUAAUGGUGGGGACUCAGACGGUACUGCCGGUGACAAACCGGAGGAAGGUGGGGAUGACGUCAAGUCAUCAUGGCCCUUAUGUCCUGGGCUACACACGUGCUACAAUGGCCGGUACAGAGCGUGGCGAAACCGCGAGGUGGAGCAAAUCGCAGAAAACCGGUCUCAAUACGGAUUGGAGUCUGAAACCCGACUUCAUGAAG